UACCCGAUAGGUCUCGAUUGCUGGAAUGCAUCGAGAUUUAAAGCUCCGGCGCCUAAGGAUGGGUCUGCGGCCUAUCAGGUAGUAGUGGGUGUAGCGUACCUACUAGCCUACGACGGGUACGGGUUGUGAGAGCAAGAGCCCGGAGAUGGAUUCUGAGACACGAAUCCAGGCCCUACGGGGUGCAGCAGGCGCGAAAACUUUACAAUGCUGGCAACAGCGAUAAGGGAACCUCGAGUGCCAGGUUACAAAUCUGGCUGUCGAGAUGCCUAAAAAGCAUUUCAUAGCAAGGGCCGGGCAAGACCGGUGCCAGCCGCCGCGGUAACACCGGCGGCUCGAGUGGUAACCGUUAUUAUUGGGUCUAAAGGGUCUGUAGCCGGCCGGAUAAGUCUCUUGAGAAAUCUGGCAGCUUAACUGUCAGGCUUUCAGGAGAUACUGUCUGGCUCGAGGCCGGGAGAGGUGAGAGGUACUUCAGGGGUAGGGGUGAAAUCUUGUAAUCCUUGAAGGACCACCAGUGGCGAAGGCGUCUCACCAGAACGGACCUGACGGCAAGGGACGAAAGCUAGGGGCACGAACCGGAUUAGAUACCCGGGUAGUCCUAGCCGUAAACGAUACUCGCUAGGUGUCGGCCACGGUGCGACCGUUGUCGGUGCCGUAGGGAAGCCGUGAAGCGAGCCACCUGGGAAGUACGGCCGCAAGGCUGAAACUUAAAGGAAUUGGCGGGGGAGCACCACAACGGGUGGAGCUUGCGGUUUAAUU
RNAcentral lists this ribosomal RNA (756 nucleotides) under uncultured bacterium. Its description in RNAcentral is "bacterial SSU rRNA". It matches the Rfam family "Archaeal small subunit ribosomal RNA", at positions 150 to 907 of the family's 1478-position model. The record is from RNAcentral.